RNAcentral lists this ribosomal RNA (202 nucleotides) under uncultured bacterium. Its description in RNAcentral is "partial 16S ribosomal RNA". It matches the Rfam family "Bacterial small subunit ribosomal RNA", at positions 329 to 538 of the family's 1533-position model. The record is from RNAcentral.
ACGCUCACACCUACGGAGGCAGCAGUUGGGAAUAUUGGACAAUGGAGGAAACUCUGAUCCAGUGACGCCGCGUGAAGGAAGAAGGUCUUCGGAUUGUAAACUUAUUUUGUCAGGGAAGAAAAAUGACUGUACCUGAAGAAAAAGCACCGGCUAACUACGUGCCAGCAGCCGGACGGUAAUCUGAGGCGGGCGUGGACAAGGC